RNAcentral lists this unclassified non-coding RNA (1168 nucleotides) under Hevea brasiliensis (rubber tree). The record is from RNAcentral. Lineage: Eukaryota; Viridiplantae; Streptophyta; Magnoliopsida; Malpighiales; Euphorbiaceae.
UGGAACAAUAAUCAAGAAAUACAAUUCUUCUUCUCUCCUAUCUUUCCAUGCUCUCUAUUUCUAUUUCUAUUCUUCUGAUCUCUUUCUCUGUUCUUAAUUCUUCUGUAAUUUCCUCUCUUAGGAUUCACUAUCCUAACAUUUGGUAGCAGAGUUUGCAAUAAGGGAUUUGGGUAGCGUUUCACUGCAUUGCUGUCGCAGUCAUGACAAGAUGAUUGGAGUCUCUGGUGGUCAGUACUGGAACGGUUAGGGUUGUGGAAUUCGAAGAAAGGAUGAGGAAUGUGAAUGAGAAAUUUAAUUCAAUUGAUGAAAGAUUCAAUGUGAUUGAAGGGAAAUUGGAUAGGGCUUCUACUGAUAAUUAUGCAGUGAGACAAGAUCUGAGGAAUUUUAUGAGUGCAAUGGCAAAGGAAAAGCGAAAAGAGGUUACAGUUGAAGAUAGUGGAAUCGGAGAUGCCAAGAGCAGAGGCUUGCUGCCAGUUCCAAAAAACUUGCCUAAUCCACUAGUCAAGGAUCAAGGCAGUACUGGCAAUGUUGUCCCUGUUGAAGAUAUGUGUUGGAAUCCCUUGAUUUUACGAAUCCAAAUUAAUAGGCAUUAAUUGUAUUUUCCUAUCAUAAUUAACUCCUUCUAAUUACCUUCCCAUUUUGUACUUUCCUAUUCAAGUUCGAUUCUUUGUAUAUAAAUAGAAGCCUAAUAUCACUGUCUUUCAUCAUGGUAUCAUAGAAUUUGAUUCAUUACGGCAGGCUUUAGAACUAUUCAUUAGUACUGUUCACAUGCACUGUUCAUCAGUAAUGUUCACGCACUCUAUUACUAUUCAUAACACGUAAACCGUUUUCUAGUUUUUUUUCAAUUGUUCCUCGCGUGCCAUGCCUCUGCCCAACUCUUGUCCUUCACCUAACCACAAGCGAAUAUGUCUAAAUUCGGGGAUUAGUCUGAAGGAAUAAAUGAUAUUAGGAUUUUUUUUUUCCAAUGAAGAAGUUCAAUUCCUAAGACAUUCAUUGUCUUGGCUUGAAUCUCAAUCUUCUACCGUUGUCUCUUCCAAUUUUGUUAAAUCAAGCAAUACUUUUUUCGUGAAUCUUGACAAAUACUUUUGCGUUAUAAAUUUUGGAGCAAACAAACAUAUAACAGGCUUUUUAAAUAAAUUUUCUACUUAUACUUCAUAUUCAGGAAAAG